AGGACGAACGCUGGCGGCGCGCUUAACACAUGCAAGUCGAGCGAGAACCAGUCCUUCGGGACUGGGGACAGCGGCGAACGGGUGAGUAACACGUGGGUAAUCUGCCCUCGAUUCUGGGAUAGCCCGGGGAAACCCGGAUUAAUACCGGAUAGCCUCUCGAGCUUUCGAGCUCGUGAGAAAAGGUGCUUCGGCCUCCGAUCGAGGAUGAGCCCGCGGCGGAUUAGCUUGGUUGGUGGGUAAUGGCCUACCAAGGCGACGAUCCGUAGCUGGUCUGAGAGGACGAUCAGCCACACUGGGACUGAGACACGGCCCAGACUCCUACGGGAGCAGCAGGUGGGAAUCUUGCGCAAGUGGGACGGAAGCCGUGACCGCGAGGCGACGCCGCGGUAGGGGGAAGAACGGGCCGUUCGGGUUACGUAAACCGUUC
RNAcentral lists this ribosomal RNA (427 nucleotides) under uncultured soil bacterium. RNAcentral describes it as "bacterial SSU rRNA". It matches the Rfam family "Bacterial small subunit ribosomal RNA", at positions 26 to 435 of the family's 1533-position model. The record is from RNAcentral.